Molecule: small nucleolar RNA, 106 nt
Filed under: Olea europaea subsp. europaea
Lineage: Eukaryota; Viridiplantae; Streptophyta; Magnoliopsida; Lamiales; Oleaceae
Source: RNAcentral
AUAUUCGGAGUAGGGCACUUCCUGAAAUAUUCUUUAAAUAUUUCUCAUGCUUCUGGAUAGCUCUCAAUGUCAUUUUGCUUAAAAGUAUGUACUUCAUUUCGGAUAU